GAAGAACCGGAUGGGAACGCCCUCAGACGCCUGUGGAGCAGAACACAUUGGAAAUGGCCUACAUGAAGGAACAAAGCCAGUCCAAAUGGCUGAAAGCUGUAGAAGGAAGCUGCUACCAACACAACUCUGAACUUCCUCAUUUGACAAGCUUGAGAGGAGGGCCUCAGAGCCCUCCACUUGCAGUACUGCAGAUCACACCAAGCUGUGAGCAGAGAAAUUGACUAUCAGCUCUGGGUGAAAACCCUUACCACAUAAUUCGAA
This is a long non-coding RNA of Lampris incognitus (smalleye Pacific opah), 261 nucleotides long. RefSeq lists it as uncharacterized. The record is from RefSeq and is a predicted model, not a curated record. Lineage: Eukaryota; Metazoa; Chordata; Actinopteri; Lampriformes; Lampridae. The transcript has 3 exons.